ACAGGCUUAACACAUGCAAGUCGAGGGGCAGCAUGGUCUUAGCUUGCUAAGGCCGAUGGCGACCGGCGCACGGGUGAGUAACACGUAUCCAACCUGCCGUCUACUCUUGGACAGCCUUCUGAAAGGAAGAUUAAUACAAGAUGGCAUCAUGAGUCCGCAUGUUUACAUGAUUAAAGGUAUUCCGGUAGACGAUGGGGAUGCGUUCCAUUAGAUAGUAGGCGGGGUAACGGCCCACCUAGUCUUCGAUGGAUAGGGGUUCUGAGAGGAAGGUCCCCCACAUUGGAACUGAGACACGGUCCAAACUCCUACGAGAGGCAGCAGUGAGGAAUAUUGGUCAAUGGGCGAGAGCCUGAACCAGCCAAGUAGCGUGAAGGAUAACUGCCCUAUGGGUUGUAAACUUCUUUUAUAAAGGAAUAAAGUCGGGUAUGGAUACCCGUUUGCAUGUACUUUAUGAAUAAGGAUCGGCUAACUCCGUGCCAGCAGCCGCGGUAAUACGGAAGAUCCGAGCGUUAUCCGGAUUUAUUGGGUUUAAAGGGAGCGUAGAUGGAUGUUUAAGUCAGUUGUGAAAGUUUGCGGGCUCAACCGUAAAAUUGCAGUUGAUACUGGAUAUCUUGAGUGCAGUUGAGGCAGGCGGAAUUCGUGGUGUAGCGGUGAAAUGCUUAGAUAUCACGAAGAACUCCGAUUGCGAAGGCAGCCUGCUAAGCUGCAACUGACAUUGAGGCUCGAAAGUGUGGGUAUCAAACAGGAUUAGAUACCCUGGUAGUCCACACGGUAAACGAUGGAUACUCGCUGUUUGCGAUAUACUGCAAGCGGCCAAGCGAAAGCGUUAAGUAUUCCACCUGGGGAGUACGCCGGCAACGGUGAAACUCAAAGGAAUUGACGGGGGCCCGCACAAGCGGAGGAACAUGUGGUUUAAUUCGAUGAUACGCGAGGAACCUUACCCGGGCUUAAAUUGCAGAUGAAUUACGGUGAAAGCCGUAAGCCGCAAGGCAUCUGUGAAGGUGCUGCAUGGUUGUCGUCAGCUCGUGCCGUGAGGUGUCGGCUUAAGUGCCAUAACGAGCGCAACCCUUGUUGUCAGUUACUAACAGGUUCCGCUGAGGACUCUGACAAGACUGCCAUCGUAAGAUGUGAGGAAGGUGGGGAUGACGUCAAAUCAGCACGGCCCUUACGUCCGGGGCUACACACGUGUUACAAUGGGGGGUACAGAGGGCCGCUACCACGCGAGUGGAUGCCAAUCCCCAAAACCUCUCUCAGUUCGGACUGGAGUCUGCAACCCGACUCCACGAAGCUGGAUUCGCUAGUAAUCGCGCAUCAGCCACGGCGCGGUGAAUACGUUCCCGGGCCUUGUACACACCGCCCGUCAAGCCAUGGGAGCCGGGGGUACCUGAAGUGCGUAACCGCGAGGAGCGCCCUAGGGUAAAACUGGUGACUGGGGCUAAGUAA
RNAcentral lists this ribosomal RNA (1443 nucleotides) under uncultured organism. Its description in RNAcentral is "SSU rRNA". It matches the Rfam family "Bacterial small subunit ribosomal RNA". The record is from RNAcentral.